RNAcentral lists this ribosomal RNA (481 nucleotides) under uncultured bacterium. Its description in RNAcentral is "bacterial SSU rRNA". It matches the Rfam family "Bacterial small subunit ribosomal RNA", at positions 28 to 507 of the family's 1533-position model. The record is from RNAcentral.
GAUGAACGCUGGCGGCGUGCUUAACACAUGCAAGUCGAACGAAGCACUUUACUUGAAUUUUUUCGGAAAGGAAAGUUUAGUGACUGAGUGGCGGACGGGUGAGUAACGCGUGGGUAACCUGCCUCAUACAGGGGGAUAACAGUUGGAAACGACUGCUAAUACCGCAUAAGCCCACGGCCUCGCAUGAGGCUGUGAGAAAAACUCCGGUGGUAUGAGAUGGACCCGCGUCUGAUUAGCUAGUUGGNGGGGUAACGGCCCACCAAGGCGACGAUCAGUAGCCGGUCUGAGAGGAUGAACGGCCACAUUGGGACUGAGAUACGGCCCAGACUCCUACGGGAGGCAGCAGUGGGGAAUAUUGCGCAAUGGGGGCAACCCUGACGCAGCAACGCCGCGUUGAGGAUGACGGUUUUCGGAUUGUAAACUCAUGUCGGGUGGGAAGAUAAUGACGGUACCACCGGAGAAAGUCACGGCUAACUACGUG